This 502-nucleotide ribosomal RNA is filed under the name uncultured bacterium. Its description in RNAcentral is "bacterial SSU rRNA". It matches the Rfam family "Bacterial small subunit ribosomal RNA", at positions 28 to 530 of the family's 1533-position model. The record is from RNAcentral.
GAUGAACGCUGGCGGCGUGCCUCAAACAUGCAAGUCGAGCGGGGCUAUGUAAUAUCGCAAGGUAGAACAUAGCCUAGCGGCGAACGGGUGAGUAACACGUGGGUAACCUGCCUGGAAGACAGGGAUAACGAUUCGAAAGGGUCGCUAAUACCUGAUAAUAUCCUUUCAUCGCAUGGUGAUAGGAAGAAAGGGGAAACCCGCUUUCAGAUGGGCCCGCGUCCCAUCAGCUAGUUGGUAAGGUAAAGGCUUACCAAGGCGACGACGGGUAGCCGGUCUGAGAGGAUGUACGGCCACACUGGGACUGAGAUACGGCCCAGACUCCUACGGGAGGCAGCAGUUGGGAAUCUUAGGCAAUGGACGAAAGUCUGACCUAGCGACGCCGCGUGAGGGAAGAAGGCCUUCGGGUUGUAAACCUCUGUCAUGGGGGAAGAAGUAAGUGACGGUACCCAAGAGGAAGCCCCUGCUAACUACGUGCCAGCAGCCGCGGUAAAAGUACUCUAAU